UUGACCUCGGAUCAGGUAGGAAUACCCGCUGAACUUAAGCAUAUCAAUAAGCGGAGGAAAAGAAACCAACAGGGAUUGCCCUAGUAACGGCGAGUGAAGCGGCAACAGCUCAAAUUUGAAAUCUGGCUCUCGGGCCCGAGUUGUAAUUUGUAGAGGAUGCUUUUGAUGCGGUGCCUUCCGAGUUCCCUGGAACGGGACGCCAUAGAGGGUGAGAGCCCCGUCUGGUUGGAUGCCAAAUCUCUGUAAAGCUCCUUCGACGAGUCGAGUAGUUUGGGAAUGCUGCUCUAAAUGGGAGGUAUAUGUCUUCUAAAGCUAA
RNAcentral lists this ribosomal RNA (316 nucleotides) under Fusarium sp. 13002. RNAcentral describes it as "eukaryotic LSU rRNA". It matches the Rfam family "Eukaryotic large subunit ribosomal RNA", at positions 1 to 319 of the family's 3401-position model. Lineage: Eukaryota; Fungi; Ascomycota; Sordariomycetes; Hypocreales; Nectriaceae. RNAcentral also lists the same sequence under 1 other name. The record is from RNAcentral.